GCCUGUACUCAGAGUAAAUUUUGAGGUGAAAAUACGGCCAUUUCAGCCAUAGAGUCCACAUGAACCUUAAUAUUCAUCAAGAUCAUUCGAUUAUUGUCAUUGCAUGUAUAUAGAAAUAUGGUUGGUUGGUACCUACAUAUAUAUAUAAAUGUCCGCUGUACCAAUGAUACACGGUGGAUACCAACGCCAUCUUACGUAUUCACAGUUUGUCUCAGUUUUGCUGUUGAAAGUUUCUGGUUAUCUAUGAUAGCCUUUCCAGACAAUAAGUAAAAGGAAAAAAAUUGUAAAGCUUGUUAGGGCAAUAUCUCCAACAAGACAUUGUCCUAACAGCUUUUACGUAAAAAGAUAAUAGGAAGAGCUCACCAUUCUAAACAUUUUUGCCAUGGUUAACUUUAUUAUACCAGUUUUCAAAAUAAUACAUACAACUUACAACUUAACCCUAUGCUAAAUUUUAAGCCGUGUCGGCCAUCUUGGUUGACAGGCGGGGUCAUCGGACACAUUUUUCAAACUAGAUACAUGAACUAAAAUUAGGAUUGAGGCCAUCUGUGGUUUUAUUUGGCUCUGUAGUUUUAGAGGUGAUGAUCUUUUUAAAUUUUAACGAACGACAGCAAUGACAGACGGACGCCAAGCGAGCGGAAAAGCUAACUUUACCUUUUGGACCGGGCGAGCUAAAAAAAAUAUAUAUUUGAAGGACAACUUCUAAACAUGUUUAUGCCUUAAUGGUAUAUGUAAUGAAUGUGAUGAGUUUUCAAAUCCUUUUCCUCGGCCGAUAGUUGUCUUAUUUACAAUUAUACCUUAUCUUCUCGUUUGUUUAUGAUGAAGAUGGCAAAUGAAUGUUGUAUUAUGAGUUCAAACGUCUAUGAGACAUCUACAUGUAUCUGAUGCAGAAAACAAAUGACUUGUUUUUGGAGUUACUUUAGAUUUACUACAGCAUGGCCUUAAAUGAGCAAAAUCCUUAUGGUAUAGUCAGAUAUAAAAGUACGGUAGCAGAAUGCGGCCAUGAAAAAAAAAAAUUAUGUUGUUCCCUCAAGAUACUAUGUCGUUCCCUCAAGAUGCUAUGUCGUUCCCACAAGAUAGUUAUCUCGUUCCCUCAAGAUACUAUGUCGUUCCCUCAAGAUACUAUGUCGUUCCCUCAAAAUAGUUAUCUCGUUUCCUCAAGAUAGUUAUCUCGUUCCCUCAAGAUACUAUGUCGUUCCCUCAAGAUGUUAUGUUGUUCCCUCAAGAUAGUUAUAUCGUUCCCUCAAGAUGCUAUGUCGUUCCUUCAAUAUACUAUGUCGUUCCCUCAAGAUGUUAUGUUGUUCCCUCAAGAUAGUUAUCUCGUUCCCUCAAGAUAGUAUGUCGUUCCCUCAAGAUAGUUAUCUCGUUCCCUCAAGAUACUAUGUCGUUCCCUCAAGAUGUUAUGUUGUUCCCUCAAGAUAGUUAUCUCGUUCCCUCAAGAUACUAUGUCGUUCCCUCAAGAUAUUAUGUUGUUCCCUCAAGAUGCUAUGUCGUUCCCUCAAGAUACUAUGUUGUUCCGUCAAGAUAGUUAUCUCGUUCCCUCAAGAUUUUAAAAUUGUAUUGAUAUAUGAUUCAUUUCGCCCUUCGAAGCGGAACUGUAGACGUGGCCAGAUCCCAAAAGUAGAAUAUUUGCAUAAUAAUAAUGAUAUAAUAAUUCUGUAUUUAAAGAGAAUAACUGAGAGGGGAUAGGAGGGGUCCUGAUCCAGAAAUCCCGAGCUUAAAAACACCCGAUCCCGGAGUCCCAGUAAAGGUAGCACUCCACAGUUAGAUGUGUAGUUUCGCAUUUUGGCCCCUGAGGAUUUUUCAAAUAUAAGAGCUAGUGUGCAAUAAAAUUCAUUUUUGGAUAGCUGAGUAUUAAAAUAGCCUUCGUAUUGGGUUUAUAUGAACAUCAAGAUCAUACAAUGUAUGUAAUAUAGGCUGUUUUCUGUAUGACAGUCCGUAUUUGUAUGUCCAUACCAUACAUUGGUCCGGCAAUUUUUGUAAUGUUUUUUCCAACUUUUUGUCGCACGAACUUUGUGAUUAGAUUUUACGAAAAAAUUAGGCGAAAGACACCCAUUUUUUAUUUGAUCAUUAGGAAGAUUUAUGAAAACAGUGUCUAAAAAGGUAUCACUCAAAAGCAUUGAAAUUCUAGUUUGAUCCAAAUUUGGGGGGGGGAUAUGUGACCUGCAUGUUUACACCCUUUUUGCAAUAUUUUAUGGUAAAUAAAUGCAGAAUGUUGCCAUGGAUACACAGAAAAGGAAUUAUUUUUCACCCUUUUAACAUUUGAAAAUUAAAUCUAAGGAAGAUACUGAUUACAUACAUAUGCACAUGUACAACACAAACAGUUAGGUUAAUGUAUUAGAAAUCCAGGAAUAGGAGAUGAUAAAACAUUUUGUGGCUCAUUUUUAAUUUUAUUUUCUAAGAGGGUGGUAAAGGGUUAUUUUCGUGCAACGUUUUCGGCCUUUUCAUUUUACGUGUUUUCUUGAUUUGGUGUUUUAUUUCUCGUUUUCUCGUGUUUGGUUCGAUGUGCGUGCUUCGUAUUUCCCCUUAUUUAUUUUCCGUGUUUCGUGUCGUUGGUCUUAAUUUCUCGUUCUUGCAUUGUUCCGCAUUUGAUUAAAAAGUGAAUUUAAAGUAACUCCAUGUCUUACUCCACCGUUUCGAAGUUGGAAAUAAAGAAUAAAUCAAUAUAAUUGUAUUGCUAUGUUGAGGGAACGAGAUAACUAUCUUGAGGGAACGACAUAGUAUCUUGAGGGAACGAGAUAACUAUCUUGAGGGAACGACAUAGUAUCUUGAGGGAACGAAAUAACUAUCU
RNAcentral lists this long non-coding RNA (2788 nucleotides) under Mytilus galloprovincialis (Mediterranean mussel). Lineage: Eukaryota; Metazoa; Mollusca; Bivalvia; Mytilida; Mytilidae. The record is from RNAcentral.